RNAcentral lists this ribosomal RNA (324 nucleotides) under uncultured eukaryote. RNAcentral's name for it is "partial 18S ribosomal RNA". It matches the Rfam family "Eukaryotic small subunit ribosomal RNA", at positions 1470 to 1796 of the family's 1831-position model. The record is from RNAcentral.
CCCUUAGAUGCUCUGGGCCGCACGCGCGCUACACUGGUCGAUGCAACGAGUUUCUUUCCUUGGCCGACAGGCCUGGGCAAUCUUUGAACAUCGAUCGUGAUCGGGAUAGAUUCUUGUAAUUUUUGAUCUUAAACGAGGAAUUCCUAGUAAACGCAAGUCAUCAGCUUGCAUUGAUUACGUCCCUGCCCUUUGUACACACCGCCCGUCGCACCUACCGAUUGAAUGGUCCGGUGAAAUCUCCGGACUGGUGUGAGUCGGAGCAAUCUGACAAACGCCGGAAAGUUGAUUAAACCUUACCAUUUAGAGGAAGGUGAAGUCGUAACA